Molecule: ribosomal RNA, 843 nt
Filed under: beta proteobacterium SCGC AAA206-N16
Lineage: Bacteria; Pseudomonadati; Pseudomonadota; Betaproteobacteria
Description: bacterial SSU rRNA
Rfam family: Bacterial small subunit ribosomal RNA
Source: RNAcentral
ACGCUGGCGGCAUGCCUUACACAUGCAAGUCGAACGCGAAAGCGGGGCAACCCGCAAGUAGAGUGGCGAACGGGUGAGUAAUACAUCGGAACGUAUCCAGUAGCGGGGGAUAACCUGUCGAAAGAUAGGCUAAUACCGCAUACGAUCUACGGAUGAAAGCGGGGGAUCGCAAGACCUCGCACUAUUGGAGCGGCCGAUGUCGGAUUAGCUAGUUGGUGAGGUAAAAGCUCACCAAGGCGACGAUCCGUAGCUGGUCUGAGAGGACGAUCAGCCACACUGGAACUGAGACACGGUCCAGACUCCUACGGGAGGCAGCAGUGGGGAAUUUUGGACAAUGGGCGAAAGCCUGAUCCAGCCAUGCCGCGUGAGUGAAGAAGGCCUUCGGGUUGUAAAGCUCUUUCGGCGGGGACGAAACGGUUAGGGUUAAUAACCCUGACUACUGACGGUACCCGCAUAAGAAGCACCGGCUAACUACGUGCCAGCAGCCGCGGUAAUACGUAGGGUGCAGGCGUUAAUCGGAAUUACUGGGCGUAAAGCGUGCGCAGGCGGUUUGUUAAGACAGAUGUGAAAUCCCCGAGCUUAACUUGGGAAUUGCGUUUGUAACUGGCAAGCUAGAGUGUAGCAGAGGGGGGUAGAAUUCCACGUGUAGCAGUGAAAUGCGUAGAUAUGUGGAGGAAUACCGAUGGCGAAGGCAGCCCCCUGGGUUAACACUGACGCUCAUGCACGAAAGCGUGGGGAGCAAACAGGAUUAGAUACCCUGGUAGUCCACGCCCUAAACUAUGUCAACUAGUUGUCGGGGGAGAAAUCCUUUGGUAACGAAGCUAACGCGUGAAGUUGACCGCC